RNAcentral lists this ribosomal RNA (469 nucleotides) under Porphyromonas canoris. RNAcentral's name for it is "bacterial SSU rRNA". It matches the Rfam family "Bacterial small subunit ribosomal RNA", at positions 9 to 467 of the family's 1533-position model. The record is from RNAcentral. Lineage: Bacteria; Pseudomonadati; Bacteroidota; Bacteroidia; Bacteroidales; Porphyromonadaceae.
GAGUUUGAUCAUGGCUCAGGAUGAACGCUAGCGAUAGGCUUAACACAUGCAAGUCGAGGGGCAGCAUAGAGUCAGCUUGCUGAUUUGGAUGGCGACCGGCGGAUGGGUGCGUAACGCGUAUGCAACUUACCUGUCAGAGGGGGAUAACCCGGAGAAAUUCGGACUAAUACCGCAUAUACUUGAGAUACUGCAUGGUGUUUCAAGGAAAUAUUUAUAGCUGACAGAUAGGCAUGCGUUCCAUUAGCUAGUAGGUGAGGUAACGGCUCACCUAGGCGACGAUGGAUAGGGGAACUGAGAGGUUAAACCCCCACACUGGUACUGAGACACGGACCAGACUCCUACGGGAGGCAGCAGUGAGGAAUAUUGGUCAAUGGGCGAGAGCCUGAACCAGCCAAUUCGCGUGAAGGAUGACUGCCCUAUGGGUUGUAAACUUCUUUAGUAGGGGAUUAAAGUUUGCCUUGCGAGGCAA